This 77-nucleotide transfer RNA is filed under the name Lacisediminimonas sp. RNAcentral describes it as "tRNA-Arg". It matches the Rfam family "tRNA". From Rfam's summary of the family: Transfer RNA (tRNA) molecules are approximately 80 nucleotides in length. Their secondary structure includes four short double-helical elements and three loops (D, anti-codon, and T loops). The record is from RNAcentral. Lineage: Bacteria; Pseudomonadati; Pseudomonadota; Betaproteobacteria; Burkholderiales; Oxalobacteraceae.
CCGUCCUUAGCUCAGGUGGAUAGAGCAACGGCCUUCUAAGCCGUAGGUCACACGUUCGAGUCGUGUAGGACGGGCCA